This is a long non-coding RNA of Raphanus sativus (radish), 3362 nucleotides long. RefSeq lists it as uncharacterized. Lineage: Eukaryota; Viridiplantae; Streptophyta; Magnoliopsida; Brassicales; Brassicaceae. The transcript is spliced from 5 exons. The record is from RefSeq and is a predicted model, not a curated record.
AAUAUUCCCCACCAAUUAAAUUGUCAGGUCAUCGCAGAUGUUUAACCGAUUGGCUUCUAACCAUUCAAACCCAUCAAAACAUCAGCUCAUUUGCAAAGGUUUCUGUUUAUCUUUCCAAUCCCUGCAGCGUAAGAGCAAAAAUAUUCACCCAAACAGCUCUAUAGUCUCUUAACUCUGACCUCAGCUGCUCAUAAACCUUCAACCUCCCUCCUCUCAGCAAUCACCGUUACGAUAUUGAGUCGUUUAUCACAACCAAUAUCCCCAUUAACACUUACUGCUACCAUUAAUUUCUUCAACGAAUAAAAUCAUCAACUAUUUGGGUUCCCCUCACCAAUUCUAUAAAAGUCGACAUAGCUAGAAAUCAUGAUCCCUAUAACAACAAGCUUCUGGUCCGAAGAGCAGAGGAAAUUUGCCGCUCAGUUCGAUCAUCCAUCAUCGACGUCGUAAGACAUCAGAUGUAUUUGAUUUUAUAUAUACUCAUUUUCAUCUAUUUUGUCACUGGAUUUGAUAGGGUGAGAUCUGUAAAGCUGUGAUCUAUCUGAAAAUUGCAUCCUAUGGGUUAUUUUCAAAAGAGAUGCAACGAUUAAGUUGAAUCGUAUGUCCGAAAAGGUAUUCACAAAAUCAUUCAAUAGCCUGCAAAGCGUUAUUGGAGUCAAGAUUAAGCUUAAUAUAAAAGAACUAGCCGUUCAGUUUGGCCGGGGAAGAGUAAUCAAAUCCGAGCAAAACAUGUUAUCUUUGUUAUCAAUUUGACACUUAUUUGACUGGACAAUCUUGAAGUAUCCACACUCUGGUUCUAGCUCAAAACCAAGAUCGAGUCUUACGCAUUAACCAGCUUUGAAUCCUCCAGUGCUAUCUGGUGAGAGACUAGAGAAACCUUCGGGUAAGCUUUUAAUUGUACUACCCGCAUGUGCAAUAAUUGUUAACAUCUUAUCCCUAGUCUAUUUGUAUACCUGUCACAUGUGUUGCUAAGUUCCUUCUUGAGGUUUUCAUCUUUGACAUUCAAGAUUUCUUUUCAUUUAGUGCCCUUUUCCUGUUGAUGUUCAUUUAAUGAGUCUAUGGUCAAUAUCAGUCCACUUUAGACACCAAAACUUUUUUUAUUUCUGUUAAAUCUCUAAUUGUAAAGUUCAUGUAAUUUUUAUGGAAUCACCAACAACACUAACAGUUUCAUGUGUUCAUGCAUGAGUCGAGUUUGCAUGUGUAAUAAUAGUUAAAGAAGAUAUGGUUAGUUUGGGGCACUUCUGUUUAUUUUUAAAAAUUCGUUUAAAGGGAAUGCAAGACGACAAUAUCAUUUUGUAACCUGCUGUUAUUCUCAUACAUUAAUUAUAUGGUCAAAUUACUCCACUGCAUCUACUGAUAGUUACAAUUUUAAAAUGCUUAACUAUGGCAUUGUCAUUAUACCUCACACAAAAAAUUCUGAAGCAAUUGUGUUACAAACAAUCUACACAAUUGUUUGAAUAAAAUGUUUCUCAUGUUUGGAUAUGAUUCUUACUAGGCAUGGGCAUUCGGGGUCCCAAUCGGGUUUCGGUUUUAUCCAAUCGGGUUUCGGUUUUUCGGGUUUAUCAAAAUCAGUUCCAUUCGGAUUAUUUGAAAGUUCGGCUCGGUACCGGUUCGGGUUCUAUCGGGUUCGGGUCGGGGUUAGUAAAUCUUCAAAGAACCGGUACAACCCAAUGUACUUUCGGGUUCGGGUCUCAAUCGGUUUUUGGGUUUAAAAAUAUCUGAUUUGUACCUAUUUUGUAACUAAAACCUAAGUAAAAUUGAUUUUUUUGGUUUCAAAUACCUAAUUUGUACCUCUUUGUAACUAAACCAUAAGUAAAAUCGAUUUAAAAUUAAGAAACAAACAUCAACCAUGAUCAUUCAAAAUUAAACGAAAGGAAAACAUAUUUAUUGAUAAAAGAAAACUAAAUAAAUAAAAUCAUAAAAUGAAAACCACGACCUCAUGAAAUAAGAAACAUUGUUUAAUGAAAACAAAAUCUAAAUCUAAAUAUUUCAAAAUUUAACAGCCACAUUUAACCAUUAACCUUCAUAUAAUAGAACCACCAACAUUUAUGUAAUACAUAAAUAUUUUAGGUGUUCAAUUAUCUUAAUGUAUUUUGAACACAUAUUAGGAAUUGAGAUCAUAUUUGGUAUAAGAUCUUUCUAGGGUUUUGAAUGUUUCGGGUUCUAUCGGAUAUCCAUUUAAAUUCGGGUUCGGUUUGGAUAAUACCCAUAACCCGAAAUACCAAAAAACAAGAUCCAUUCGGUAUUUAUGUCGGGUUUGGAUCGGUUCGGAUUCAUUUUUAUCGGAUCGGAUUCGGUUCGGAUUUUUGGGUUCGGUUUAUUUGCCCAGCCCUAAUUCUUACUACAAUCAUCUGGCUUUAGAUGAGUUGAUGAAGAAGGGAGGAAGAAGGAAAUGAAUUAAAUGAUGAAUCACAAACUUACUGGCUGUUCCAACAGAUAAUUGUGAAGGUGAUGUGUCAAGCUCUGGAAGAGACUAGAGAAAGUAUAUUAGAGCAUCUUUAUCAGCACGUCCUUAGCUUCGUCCUUAGGUGAAUUCGGCAUAGGUCCCACAGCAAAUGUCCUAGACUAUCUUCAUUUGUCCUUUUAUAAGAAACGUCCCACACUCGUCUCACACUUCUUCCUCAUUGAUUUCUCCCAUUUAACAGAAAACAAAAAGAAAAAAAUUUAAGGACUUUUAAAAGUCCUGUCUGAUAAAGAUGCUCUUAGAGCAUCUGAAUCGGUUGGGACCAAAAAAGUCCUCCAAAACUAUUUUUUUUUUAAAAAAAAUUGCUUUAAAAAAACAAAAAAACAAAAAAAAAUAAAAGUGAACAAAUGGUGGGCCACCACGUGUCAUGGGUCUCACAAAACAGGCAGAGGACGCAACAAGGACGUUCCUUAUCUAAGGAACUUUUCUCCUUUGUCCUUCAUGGUUUCGUCCUUUGUGGUCCCCCCUCCCUCCUAAAGAUGUCCUAAGGACAGCUGAUAUUUAUGCUCUUAUAAGCAAAAAGGCGGAGUGAGGAAAGUGAUUGAUAAUUGUAUACUUUAGUCAACAAUAAAAAUUAUAUUUUUAUACAUUUUAUUCCUUUUGGUGCAAAAGAAAAUCAAAAGAAUUGUAAAUUCUUAACUUUUUUGUCGACAAAAAUAUGUGUAAAUUAUAUUAAGAUUUUGGUGACUUUGAUAACAGGAGAAAUAAAAAUUGAAUAUUCUGUUAAAUUAUAGUCAUAAGCGUCAACUUAUAAUCAUAUAAAGAUAAUCUAAUAUACAAGAAGAGCAGUCUUGAACACAUCAAAAUAUAAACGAUAUGUUGUUGAGUUUGAAGAAGGAUAAAUGAGUAUCUAAAUUUUUUCAUAAGGUUAAGAAUAUGGAAGAUGUGUAACAAUAUUGUC